GGACAUGUAGCCUAAUCAGGUGAGGCAACUGGCUUUUAACCAGUGGGAAACCAUAUGUGGGUUCGAAUCCCGCCUUGUCCU
This 81-nucleotide transfer RNA is filed under the name marine sediment metagenome. Its description in RNAcentral is "tRNA-Lys". It matches the Rfam family "tRNA". Rfam says of the family: Transfer RNA (tRNA) molecules are approximately 80 nucleotides in length. Their secondary structure includes four short double-helical elements and three loops (D, anti-codon, and T loops). The record is from RNAcentral.